Molecule: non-coding RNA, 3119 nt
Organism: Nelumbo nucifera (sacred lotus)
Lineage: Eukaryota; Viridiplantae; Streptophyta; Magnoliopsida; Proteales; Nelumbonaceae
Source: RefSeq, a predicted model, not a curated record
UACACUCUAAAAUGCUAUUUGGAAAUUAUAUUUAAGUAUUAGCAAUUGCAGGCACUUAAUUAUUAUUAUUCAUUUAUUUAUUUUUGUAUGGGCUCUUUUCAAAUCCCCGGUUUCCUUUCUUUUAUCUUCUUUCGACUCGUGUAUUUGUUGAAUCAUUUCUUGGGGUUAUCAGAUAUUUCUCAUGCUCUAACAAAAUUCUAUUGCAUUUUUUGUCGAUAGGUCUGCAGACUUCAGAUGCCCAGUUCCUACUGCGGAGGAAAUCUCUAUUGAAUUCUUCUUUUUUGCUUUUGUUACUAUGGGAGGUGGUUUAUGUUGAAGGUUCCUUGUCUCUUUUUAGGUCUGUUUGAUUUCUCUAUGCUUAUCCCUCUGGUCUGAUCCCUCUGCUCCCAUCCUUGUCUCUUUUCAAUAAAGAAAAGAAAGAAAAAAAAUGAAAAAUGCUACUUUACAAAUCUUACCAUCUAAAUUAAUUCUUGCCUAAUAAGCAAACGAGUAGAUGUUUCUCACAGCAAUAAUUCAGAUCCAAACUUCAAGAGCUAUUCUAGAAAAUCCAGACAACCUUUUGUUUUUAUACUGGACAUAAAGAGAAAAGGGGGAGAAAAAGGAAAAGUUCUUGGUUUCUUAUGUCUUUAUGAUCUUGGAACUGGGUUUGGCCAAGAUUUCAGAGUAUUUUGGUAGAUUUCUUCUUUCCUUUUGUGGUUCCCUUCCUAGUUCCUUUCCCUCUGGAUGAAACUCUUUGAAGCAAAUCAAAACUAGGCUUGAUGACUACAGAUGAGGAAGGUCCUAGCUCCUUGUGGAGUAGGGAGCAGGAGAAAGCUUUUGAGAAUGCUUUGGCAACCCAUCCUGAGGAUUCUAUGGAUCGAUGGGAGAAGAUUGCAGCAUCUGUACCAGGGAAAACUCCUGAUGAGGUCAAACAUCAUUAUGAACUCUUAGUUGAAGACAUUAAUGGGAUUGAGUCUGGCCGUGUGCCUUUGCCUUGCUAUGUUUCUUCUUCAGAGGGUUCGAUGGACCAUUCAAAUGAUUCUGGGGCUGCUAAAAAGGGCAGUAAUUUUGGCAACUUCCAGAGUGACUCUAGUCAUGGAGGGAAGUCAUUGAGGUCAGAUCAAGAACGUCGAAAGGGGAUAGCUUGGACAGAAGAUGAGCACAGCUUUGGUGAACUCCUGUUUCUUGAGUUGCAUAAAGCUUGGACUUGCUUUAUGAAUCCCUGCUUUGGAAUCCUGCUGCUCCAUGGGCUGUUUCUUCUUGGAUUGGACAAAUAUGGGAAGGGAGAUUGGAGGAGUAUAUCAAGAAAUUUUGUGGUGUCCAGGACGCCUACGCAGGUGGCAAGUCAUGCACAGAAGUAUUUCAUCCGAUUGAACUCAAUGAACAAAGAUAGGAGACGAGCAAGCAUCCAUGAUAUCACUAGUGUGGGAAAUGGAGACAUAUCAGCUACCCAAGGGCCGAUCACAGGUCAAACUAAUGCACCCAGUGCAGGAGCAUCUUCUGGUAAAUCCAACAAACAACCACCUCAGCCCCCACCUGGUGCUCCUGGAGUUGGUGUGUAUGGCACUACUACCAUAGGCCAACCAAUUGGAGGUCCUCUUGUUUCAGCUGUUGGAACUCCGGUGAACCUUCCUGCCCCAGCACACAUGGCAUAUGGUGUGAGACCUCCAGUUCCUGGAUCUGUAGUUCCUGGUGCCCCAGUAAGCAUGGCUCCAAUGACAUAUCCAAUGCCGCAUGCAUCUGCUCACAGGUGAUCUGGUUAUUGAACAUUCAGUGUACAAAAGAUAGAGUAGAUUGCUGGUUUUGAGUUUGCCCAACUUCAGGCAGAAUAAGAUGGCCAAGGUGCAAUCACAGGUUAUCUAAUGCCAUUUGUGACAUUCUCAUGCAAGAAGCUUCCUUUUCGAGUCGUCGAUCAGAGCUGAUGGGCGAAGCCCUAGCUUAUUGACCCUAUAGAAAAAAUCAAUGACAGUUUGUCUCUUGCCAUCAUGAAGAAAACCUGAAACCCCCGCAGAUACAAGUUUCACACUCAGUGAAGCAACAAACUGCCAAUGUGGUGUUUCGGAAACCAAAACGGUCUCAACGAUCAUUAGCGUUUCAAGCAGUUCCGAUGGUGUGGCAUCAGAUCUUGAUGGACAUUUGUGAGCAGAGGUGGAAUGAGCAUGAUAAUUUGGUGGGAGGUCUAGUGGGACUCAGUGACGAGUGCUUUUGCUUGGUUGAAUGGAGGGGAGGACUUGGAGGGAGAAGCAUGGAAGAGCCUAUGAUAACGAACUUUCAUUUUUGGCCAACCGUUUCUUCUGGUGAGAAUUCUGGCUUUUUAUAUAGCUUUCGAGUUUUGGGUCAGGAACUCGGGAUUGAAUUUGAAAGGCGGGUCUCUUUUUUGUCGAGGUUUGGGUUAGGUUGGUUUUGAUAGUUGGACUGUUAAACUGUCGAUGUUGAAGGACCAAAGCAUUUAAGCAAAUGAGUUACUUUGCUGGCUGAAGUCGGUGACAGGGGAUGAAAACUGUGAGAAGAAAGAGAAAAAUAAGAGAGAGACUGGAGGUAGGGUUUAGGAAGAAUGCAUAUGCCGGUGUCGAAGUUAUAAGAAGGGUAAAGAUGUGAUGUAUACAGUACUGCACAUCGGCCCUGUUCAGCUUCUUCAAGGUCACAACACCGAACAGAGCUGGCGGCGAACCUUGUUCUGCUCUCCCAUCUCUUCCCCUCUCUCUCUCUUUCCUUCUUGGUUCAACCUUGCGGCGGUGACUCACCAUGCCUGUCUACUGAUUCGUAAUUUUGAUUUCAGCAUUGUUCAUCAUUGAACACUAUUCAUCCAUCGUCCCCAAUCUCCCAUAAAUCUGAUACUCAGUUCAUUAUCUGAGGCAGUGAGAUUUUCUACCUCCUCGCAAAUCAGAUUUUGGCAUAGUUCAUCAAACACUGUUCAUCCAUCAUCCCCAACCUCUUGCCUGAUACCCUGUUCAUUAUCUCCAUUACAAUGUUGAACCAGAGGUGAUGAGGUUAUCCACCUCACCCAAGCAUUGAACCAGUUCAUCGUGCAGCAAUGGUUGUCACCUGCAACUGGUCCUUCAUCGGCAACACUGUCUUUCAUGUAAUCAACGUCAUUUUUUCCUUCUUCGGCAACAUAGAACUGGUCCUAAAACGUUGAA